Molecule: ribosomal RNA, 497 nt
Filed under: uncultured bacterium
Lineage: Bacteria
Description: partial 16S ribosomal RNA
Rfam family: Bacterial small subunit ribosomal RNA
Source: RNAcentral
GAUGAACGCUGGCGGCGUGCCUAAUACAUGCAAGUCGAGCGAACGGACGAGAAGCUUUCUUCUCUGAUGUUAGCGGCGGACGGGUGAGUAACACGUGGAUAACCUACCUAUAAGACUGGGAUAACUUCGGGAAACCGGAGCUAAUACCGGAUAAUAUUUUGAACCGCAUGGUUCAAAAGUAAAAGACGGUCUUGCUGUCACUUAUAGAUGGAUCCGCGCUGCAUUAGCUAGUUGGUAAGGUAACGGCUUACCAAGGCAACGAUGCAUAGCCGACCUGAGAGGGUGAUCGGCCACACUGGAACUGAGACACGGUCCAGACUCCUACGGGAGGCAGCAGUAGGGAAUCUUGCGCAAUGGGCGCAAGCCUGACGGAGCAACGCCGCGUGAGUGAUGAAGGUCUUCGGAUCGUAAAACUCUGUUAUUAGGGAAGAACAUAUGUGUAAGUAAAUGUGCACAUCUUGACGUUACCUAAUCAGAAAGCCACGGCUAACUCCGUG